RNAcentral lists this unclassified non-coding RNA (235 nucleotides) under uncultured fungus. Its description in RNAcentral is "sequence contains ITS1". Lineage: Eukaryota; Fungi. The record is from RNAcentral.
GUAUUGUAUUGCGUUAAACGCGGUGUGCAUUCCAUGAGACUUUACUACAGCGUGUGUGUAAAUACAUAGAACCACGGCAGGGGGGACAGAGCCCCCAGGCUGCAGAACUACGGAGGGUGCACAGGUGUGAGUGGAUGUGCAAACAGAGCGUGCACGAUGCCCCCAUUUUUGAGGACCAGCAACAACUCGUGUCGACAAUUCGGUAAUGAUCCUUCCGCAGGUUCACCUACGGAAA